AUUGAACGCUGGCGGCAGGCCUACCACAUGCAAGUCGAGCGAGCGGCGGACGGGUGAGUAAUGUCUGGGAAACUGCCUGAUGGAGGGGGAUCACUACUGGACACGGUAGCUAAUAACGCCUACCAUCAGUUGUGCCCCGAUGGGGUUAGCUAGUAGGUGGGGUAACGGCCUCCCUAGGCGACGGUCCCUAGCUGGUCGAGGAGGAUGACCAGCCACACGGGAACGGAGACACGGUCCAGACUCAUACGGGAGGAAGCAGUGGGGAAUAUUGCACAAUGGGCGCAAGCCUGAUGCAGCCAUGCCGAGUGUGUGAAGAAGGCCUUCGGGUUGUAAAGCACUUUCAGCGGGGAGGCGUUACCCGCAGAAGAAGCACCGGCUAACUCCGUGCCAGCAGCCGCGGUAAUAC
This 406-nucleotide ribosomal RNA is filed under the name uncultured bacterium. Its description in RNAcentral is "partial 16S ribosomal RNA". It matches the Rfam family "Bacterial small subunit ribosomal RNA", at positions 29 to 526 of the family's 1533-position model. The record is from RNAcentral.